Molecule: ribosomal RNA, 375 nt
Filed under: uncultured bacterium
Lineage: Bacteria
Description: bacterial SSU rRNA
Rfam family: Bacterial small subunit ribosomal RNA
Source: RNAcentral
UAAGACGAACCGUCCAAACGUUAUUCGGAAUCACUGGGCUUACAGAGUUCGUAGGCGGUUCGGUAAGUUAGGUGUGAAAUCCCUUGGCUCAACCAAGGAACUGCGCUUAAUACUGCCGAACUUGAGGGAGAUAGAGGAGAGCGGAACUGAUGGUGGAGCGGUGAAAUGCGUUGAUAUCAUCAGGAACACCGGUGGCGAAGGCGGCUCUCUGGGUCUCUCCUGACGCUGAGGAACGAAAGCUAGGGGAGCAAACGGGAUUAGAUACCCCGGUAGUCCUAGCCGUAAACGAUGAGCACUAGGUCGUGGGCCUCCACAGGCUCUCGGCCGUAGCGAAAGUGUUAAGUGCUCCGCCUGGGGAGUAUGGUCGCAAGGCUG